GGCCGCCGAGGAGAGGCUUGCGUUGCGUGCUGAGGAGCGGAGGAGGCAGGAGCCGGCGUCGUGUUUGAGUAGGAGUAGGAUAAGCGGAUUGCUCUCUCGCCUGUGGGGAUUUCCGGCGAGAAGGACUCGAGGCGAGCGGAUCGAGAGCGCCCGCCCGCCCGGCCGGCCUCGCCGAUCAGCCGCGAUGAACUGCGAGACGUGCCACCUCAACGAACUGGAGCUGGAGCCGCUGGAGAUCAAAGAUGUGCUGCGAUGCAUCUUGCAUACUAUAUUCUUUCAUCGAACCCUCACUCUUGUUCGGCCCAAGGAUGUUGACUGCGACCUCUUUGAGAUCACAUAUGUUCAAUGUGGACUUGCAGAACUAGAAAAGGAAGUUGAUGAAAAGAUCAACCAGUUCAUUGCUUGGGCUGAAAAGCAUCCAAAUCGGAAAAGCCAGGUGUGCCUCUCGUUCUUCGAUGAGAAGAACAAGCACCCAGGCUGGUUCAGCAGCAAGACUGAGAGGGUUUACUGGGAACAAUGGUUCAUCAAUUUGCAUGUCACAAGCCCUAAAGGGCAAGGCAAAUCACGUGGCUCCAAAGCGCCAGCAAAUACUAAAGGACAAGCAUUGGAAGAGACCAGCUCAAGACGUGAUGCGCUGAGCUUGCUGAUCCAAGAAGUCCUGUUCCAGAUCAUUAACUACGCCAAUGAGAAAAAAGACCAUAUUCCUCCAAUCUCUGACAGAAUAUUCAAUCAUGAGAUUUUGGUCCCCAGGUGACACCUUUUCCUUGGACGUGUGUUCACAGCUCUUCUGAUUCUGUAUUCGGGUGGAACGCCGACGUUCUUCGGAGGGCAUUGAGUAGUGGACAUUCGUACUCACUGAACUGAAGAUCUUUGUUAGAGACUGCACUAAACGAAGAUGUUGGUAUCGGUGUGCUACCUUUCACAGUGAUAAGACGUUGCCCCUUUCUCACCUCUCCGUUGAUCGUUUGGUUAUAAGACGUCGUCAGAGCUGCUGACUCAUGGAAGCAAAUGUUGUGUACAGAAUAAUGUAGAACGCCAGUGAACUGACUCUGUUACCCAUCCAAUCAUGUAAUUCCCACUUGUUUAGCUGUAAAUAUUUCUCUUGACAAUCUGUGUCAAAAAAAUAUUAUGUCAUGCAGAUGUGAAAAGUAGAAAAAAGUCCAUUUUACUACCCUGAAUAAAGUGGGUGGUUCACU
This 1196-nucleotide ribosomal RNA is filed under the name Triticum aestivum (bread wheat). RNAcentral's name for it is "partial small subunit ribosomal RNA". The record is from RNAcentral. Lineage: Eukaryota; Viridiplantae; Streptophyta; Magnoliopsida; Poales; Poaceae.